RNAcentral lists this ribosomal RNA (251 nucleotides) under uncultured Phyllobacteriaceae bacterium. RNAcentral's name for it is "partial 16S ribosomal RNA". It matches the Rfam family "Bacterial small subunit ribosomal RNA", at positions 524 to 774 of the family's 1533-position model. Lineage: Bacteria; Pseudomonadati; Pseudomonadota; Alphaproteobacteria; Hyphomicrobiales; Phyllobacteriaceae. The record is from RNAcentral.
UACGAAGGGGGCUAGCGUUGUUCGGAAUUACUGGGUGUAAAGCGCACGUAGGCGGAUAUUUAAGUUAGGGGUGAAAUCCCAGGGCUCAACCCUGGAACUGCCUCUAAUACUGGAUAUCUAGAGGUCGAGAGAGGCGAGUGGAAUUCCGAGUGUAGAGGUGAAAUUCGUAGAUAUUCGGAGGAACACCAGUGGCGAAGGCGGCUCACUGGCCCGAUACUGACGCUGAGGCGCGAAAGCGUGGGGAGAAAAAA